Molecule: ribosomal RNA, 450 nt
Filed under: uncultured bacterium
Lineage: Bacteria
Description: partial 16S ribosomal RNA
Rfam family: Bacterial small subunit ribosomal RNA
Source: RNAcentral
GUGGGGAAUCUUCCGCAAUGGACGAAAGUCUGACGGAGCAACGCCGCGUGAGUGAAGAAGGUUUUCGGAUCGUAAAGCUCUUUCGUUAGGGACGAACGUGCUCUUUGUGAAUAAUGAGGAGUAAUGACGGUACCUAAAUAAGAAGCCACGGCUAACUACGUGCCAGCAGCCGCGGUAAUACGUAGGUGGCAAGCGUUGUCCGGAAUUAUUGGGCGUAAAGCGCGCGCAGGCGGGAUAUCAAGUCUGUCUUAAAAGUGCGAGGCUCAACCUCGUGAGGGGACAGAAACUGGUAUUCUUGAGUGUCGGAGAGGAAAGUGGAAUUCCAAGUGUAGCGGUGAAAUGCGUAGAGAUUUGGAAGAACACCAGUGGCGAAGGCGACUUUCUGGACGAUGUCUGACGCUGAGGCGCGAAAGCGUGGGGAUCGAACAGGAUUAGAAACCCUUGUAGUCC